Molecule: ribosomal RNA, 484 nt
Filed under: uncultured bacterium
Lineage: Bacteria
Description: partial 16S ribosomal RNA
Rfam family: Bacterial small subunit ribosomal RNA
Source: RNAcentral
AUUGAACGCUGGCGGCAGGCCUAACACAUGCAAGUCGAGCGGAUGAAGGGAGCUUGCUCCUGGAUUCAGCGGCGGACGGGUGGGUAAUGCCUAGGAAUCUGCCUGGUAGUGGGGGAUAACGUCCGGAAACGGGCGCUAAUACCGCAUACAUCCUGAGGGAGAAAGUGGGGGAUCUUCGGACCUCACGCUAUCAGAUGAGCCUAGGUCGGAUUAGCUAGUUGGUGGGGUAAAGGCCUACCAAGGCGACGAUCCGUAACUGGUCUGAGAGGAUGAUCAGUCACACUGGAACUGAGACACGGUCCAGACUCCUACGGGAGGCAGCAGUGGGGAAUAUUGGACAAUGGGCGAAAGCCUGAUCCAGCCAUGCCGCGUGUGUGAAGAAGGUCUUCGGAUUGUAAAGCACUUUAAGUUGGGAGGAAGGGCAGUAAGUUAAUACCUUGCUGUUUUGACGUUACCAACAGAAUAAGCACCGGCUAACUUCGUG